GAUUGUCUUGUUAGCAUUCCUUACC
Molecule: non-coding RNA, 25 nt
Filed under: Rattus norvegicus (Norway rat)
Lineage: Eukaryota; Metazoa; Chordata; Mammalia; Rodentia; Muridae
Source: RNAcentral